This 99-nucleotide small nuclear RNA is filed under the name Jaculus jaculus (lesser Egyptian jerboa). RNAcentral's name for it is "U2 spliceosomal RNA (ENSJJAG00000007599.1)". It matches the Rfam family "U2 spliceosomal RNA". Rfam says of the family: U2 is a small nuclear RNA (snRNA) component of the spliceosome (involved in pre-mRNA splicing). Complementary binding between U2 snRNA (in an area lying towards the 5' end but 3' to hairpin I) and the branchpoint sequence (BPS) of the intron results the bulging out of an unpaired adenosine, on the BPS, which initiates a nucleophilic attack at the intronic 5' splice site, thus starting the first of two transesterification reactions that mediate splicing. The record is from RNAcentral. Lineage: Eukaryota; Metazoa; Chordata; Mammalia; Rodentia; Dipodidae.
AUCACUUCUCGGCCUUUUGGCUAAGAUCAAGUGUAGUAUCUGUUCUUAUCAGUUUAAUAUAUGCAACAGAAGGAAGAAAUGAGGGACAUCUCACUCAAU